This 1002-nucleotide ribosomal RNA is filed under the name uncultured bacterium. RNAcentral's name for it is "bacterial SSU rRNA". It matches the Rfam family "Bacterial small subunit ribosomal RNA", at positions 353 to 1371 of the family's 1533-position model. The record is from RNAcentral.
AGUGGGGAAUAUUGCACAAUGGAGGAAACUCUGAUGCAGCAACGCCGCGUGGGGGAUGACACAUUUCGGUGCGUAAACUCCUUUUAUAUGAGAAGAUAAUGACGGUAUCAUAUGAAUAAGCAUCGGCUAACUCCGUGCCAGCAGCCGCGGUAAUACGGAGGAUGCAAGCGUUACUCGGAAUCACUGGGCGUAAAGAGCAUGUAGGCUGGUUAAUAAGUCAGAUGUGAAAUCCAAUAGCUUAACUAUUGAACUGCAUUUGAAACUGUUGACCUAGAGUAUGGAAGGGGCAGAUGGAAUUAGUGGUGUAGGGGUAAAAUCCGUAGAGAUCACUAGGAAUACCGAAAGCGAAGGCGAUCUGCUGGUACAUAACUGACGCUGAGAUGCGAAAGCGUGGGGAGCAAACAGGAUUAGAUACCCUGGUAGUCCACGCCCUAAACGAUGGACACUAGUCGUCGGAGAUUUAAAUCUUCGGUGAUGCACUUAACAGAUUAAGUGUCCCGCCUGGGGAGUACGGUCGCAAGAUUAAAACUCAAAGGAAUAGACGGGGACCCGCACAAGUGGUGGAGCAUGUGGUUUAAUUCGAAGAUACGCGAAAAACCUUACCUAGCCUUGACAUUGAUAGAAUCUUUCAGAGAUGAGAGAGUGCCAGUUUACUGGAGCUUGAAAACAGGUGCUGCACGGCUGUCGUCAGCUCGUGUCGUGAGAUGUUGGGUUAAGUCCCGCAACGAGCGCAACCCUCGUCAAUAGUUGCUAACAGUUCGGCUGAGCACUCUAUUGAGACUGCCUUCGUAAGGAGGAGGAAGGUGAGGACGACGUCAAGUCAUCAUGGCCCUUAUGGCUAGGGCUACACACGUGCUACAAUGGUAUAUACAAAGAGUCGCAAUACCGCGAGGUGGAGCUAAUCUCAUAAAAUAUAUCUCAGUUCGGAUUGUUCUCUGCAACUCGAGAACAUGAAGCUGGAAUCACUAGUAAUCGUAGAUCAGAAUGCUACGGUGAAUACGU